This is an RNA transcript of Tripterygium wilfordii, 2799 nucleotides long. It is a transcript of the gene named casein kinase 1-like protein 3, with no coding region annotated. The transcript has 16 exons. The record is from RefSeq and is a predicted model, not a curated record. NCBI's taxonomy places the organism in Eukaryota, Viridiplantae, Streptophyta, Magnoliopsida, Celastrales, Celastraceae.
GAUACCAGUACGCAAGAGCAAGAUGACAUGCUUGAAGUAAAGACAAGACAAAUUUGGAUAAAGUCUGCGAUGACGAUUGAUUGAUGCUUCUCUAACCAUCAAUUCCUCUGUCUCUGUCGUUUGUCGUGCCCGACUUCUUAUUGGCUUCAGAACUGAAAACGAUUUCCUUCUCCCUGCUCUUUCACUAUCGGAGAUUCGAUCGAGCAUGGAACGGAUCGUCGGGGGCAAAUACAAGCUCGGUCGCAAGAUCGGGAGUGGAUCGUUUGGUGAAAUUCAUCUUGCUACUCAUAUCGAUACGUUUGAGAUCGUUGCUAUUAAGAUCGAGAACAACAGAACAAAGCACCCGCAGCUGCUCUAUGAAGCCAAGUUGUACAACAUUCUUCAAGGAGGAAGUGGUAUUCCUAACAUAAAAUGGUCUGGAGUGGAUGGGGAGGACAAUGUGCUCGUGAUUGAUUUGCUGGGACCAAGUCUUGAGGAUCUGUUUGUGUAUUGUGGGAGGAAGUUUUCGCUUAAAUCAGUGCUUAUGCUGGCUGAUCAAAUGAUUACAAGAAUAGAAUAUGUUCAUUCAAAAGGAUUUUUGCAUAGAGACAUAAAACCUGAUAACUUCCUCAUGGGUCUUGGACGGAAAGCAAACCAGGUCUAUAUAAUUGAUUUUGGCCUUGCAAAAAGAUACCGGGAUGCCACAACAAAUCGUCACAUCCCUUAUAGGGAGAACAAAAACCUGACAGGGACUGCUCGUUAUGCAAGUUGCAAUACUCAUCUUGGAAUUGAGCAAAGUCGACGAGAUGAUUUAGAAUCACUUGGCUAUGUUCUCCAGUACUUUCUGAGAGGGAGCCUUCCAUGGCAGGGUUUAAAAGCUGCCACAAAGAAGCAAAAGUACGACAAGAUAUGUGAGAAAAAGUUAUCGACUCCUAUUGAGGUGCUGUGCAAGUCUCAUCCUGUGGAGUUUGCAUCGUACUUCCAUUACUGCCAUUCAUUGACUUUUGAUCAGCGCCCUGAUUAUGGAUUCUUAAAGCGCUUAUUUCGUGAUUUGUUUGCUCGUGAAGGAUAUGAAUUUGACUACAUCUUUGAUUGGACUAUCAUAAAGUACCAGCAAGCUCAAAGGAGUAGAACUCAGUCUCGAUUAUCUCCAGCACCUGGGGCAACUAGCUGUCAUGCAGCACCAGUAGUCAUGAACAACCAUCAAGGUACUAAUGCUCCAUAUUCAGCUGAGGCCCGCGUAAGACCGGGCAUUGCCACUGGCUCUGGCAUACGUAUGCACUUCAAAUCAGCGACAAGAAAGCAUGAUUCUGAUGCUGUUGACAAGAAUAUUCUGAAUGAUGCACACGUGGCUUCCACUUCAUUUUCACUUUCUGGUCCAUCAAAAAUAAAUGUUGCCAAACCUAUGUUGCCUACUGAUGCUCCAAACCUGGUUCAUGGAGAUGGUGACAGAGUUGGUCCUUCGAAUAGCUGGAUUUCAUCAUUGCAGCGUGUUCAUUCUGCCAAGUGAAACAAAAGCAUUGGAUUACUUAAUUGUAAGAAGCUUCAUAUGUUGUAUUUAUGCUGUGGUUUUAUUCAUUUUGGAUCCUCUCUUCGUUCCGGCAUUGUCUGAAGGAAUGAGUAAUGGCAGGCAACAUCCACCUGGCAUUUGAGACUAGAUAAUCUAUCCCUCAUGAUGUCGACAAUUUCUGGUUGAGGAAUGGCUGGCCUGCUGGACUGCUGAAUGAAAAAUGAGGCGUAGAAUGUUGAUUUAUGGCAAUUAUCGUGUGGCGUCAAUUCUUAGUUGUGAUAGAUGGUUGUUGUGUGUAUGAAUGUGUACACCUCUCAUGCUGUAGAAUGGCUGUGUUAUAUGCAGCUGCCUCGCCAUCCUAAAUGGAGUAUCUGGAAAUGUUGAGAGAAUAGUUUUAAGAAUGGAGAACACCCAUGGAUUCAUCUGUGAUUAUUUGAAUUCAAGGUGGCAACUGCUUGGCAAAGCAGUAAAAAGAGAGCGUGAAGUGUUUGGCAUUCCAAUAAUUGGGUUGUUGUUAACCAGAGUUAUUCCUUUGGCUUAGUGCAGAUUCUAGUACAGUGUGUUUCAGAGGGGAACCAAAUCACAGAUGUUUUAGUAGUUGCGAAAGAGGCGUUUUAUUUUCCGGGUCCAUGGAAGAUUUUUAGGACCUAGGAAACAUAUGAAUCGAUUUCAUUGAGUUGCUUUUGUUCACACUGCAUCUGCCAUUGCUUCCUAUAGAACCCAGGGUAAAUUAAUUGAAGGAAGUUGGAUAGUUCAACUGCUUUUAUGGAUGUGGCUAUAUGAUGCUUGUAAUUAGAGAUCUGAACCGUUGGUUGUUUUCACAUGAAUGUUUCAGGAGGUUUAGUUACUUUGAGAUCUCAAACCUUCGGGCUGUAUCAAGUGAUGAAGGGCAGCAUCAAAUGCUGUAUCAGGUCGAUUUUAUCAUUUUAUAUGGAUUGUUUUUUUCCCCUUAUGUUUUCUUUCGGACGAACUGUUUCUCAUGCCAUCGAGUAAGCUAGACCUGUCCAGAAGGGAUGGAGCAAAACCUGGAAAACUUUUGUAUGGGGAAAGACGGACUCAAAAUUUUCAUUGACAUGGACCUUGGCGAGCACAUAGACCCGUUGGCAUUUGGAGCCAUUCAUGUAUAAUUGAUCCUCUGGGUUCUUCCCCUGUUUUGGUUUCUUUCUUUUUCCUUGAAGCAUUAUGGCAGUCUGAUCUAGUGUUGAGAUAAGGUAGCAACGGUUAUUUCGCUUUGAGCGAUGGAACAUGUGGUAUGCUAUGGUUAUAUGAGAGAUAUAAUUUGUAGUAUUCGUGUUGCGUGUGCUCGUCUA